UUUUAAGUUGGCCCCUUCAUUCAUUAGCUUCUAGAUCAGUCCCUAGCUAAAAGGAAAUGACAUCUGCUGAUGCAAGGGCUCCGAUUCUUUUGUUAAUGUCGGUGAUUUUGAGGCCUUUUAUUUUGAAAAUAAUUAGAAUAACCCCUGUAUAAUUCCGCUGGAGUUUUUUUGGGGCAACAAUUAAGAAAAUUGAGAAGUCAAAAGGCAGCAAAAUAUAAAAAGGGCAGACGUUGGAUCAUUAUGUGCAGUAAAAUAAUUGUGGUGAUUGAGGCAUAUGAGUAGAACCCUAACCUUGCAGACCUUUUCUGAACCCAGAGUUUGCGAAGGAAAUAAUUGAUAGGCAAUCUGUCUGGAGAAGAGUUGCAUGCCUUGCUAUCAACUUUGGUAUCAGCACCCAGCGCUCGCGCUCAUACAGAUGAAAUUAUUGUUGUAGAAGGGUCUUUCCAUACUGAAUGGUUCGCGCUUGCCAAACAUUCGAAAAUUUGAGAUUGCUGGUAUUGAAACCCUUCAGAAUUCCCAAUAAAUGUAAUGUUUUCUCCAAUAGACUCUUUGCUGAUUGGGGAUUACAUAACUGCUAUAUGAUGAAACUAUUUUAUGAUGUUCUUUUGAAGUGUGUGAUUUUUACUUUUUCAAUUAGCUUGACAUGCCAAAGCUGGUCCCGCUGAACUUGUGCCUUUCUAUAAAUGGCUCAAUUUAUGUUGCCUUUGUCCUUAGCCCAGCCAACCAUGUAUGUUACUGAGCCACUGUACGAGUUGAAGCUUUUAUAUCAUUUUGAUGAUUUUCCUUA
This is a long non-coding RNA of Prosopis cineraria, 787 nucleotides long. RefSeq lists it as uncharacterized. The record is from RefSeq and is a predicted model, not a curated record. Lineage: Eukaryota; Viridiplantae; Streptophyta; Magnoliopsida; Fabales; Fabaceae. The transcript has 2 exons.